Molecule: unclassified non-coding RNA, 7561 nt
Filed under: Hermetia illucens (black soldier fly)
Lineage: Eukaryota; Metazoa; Arthropoda; Insecta; Diptera; Stratiomyidae
Description: kinesin-like protein KIF21A, transcript variant X3
Source: RNAcentral
UCAAACCGAGCCCAUUUACAUCCACUCUCCACAUGUAGUCAGUUGUCAGACCAAUUGGAACCGGUGCGGCGAAUUGGAGCCCAUGGUGAGCUGCUGCCACAAAACAGAGUUCUCCCUAGCAUUGCGCAGUCAGCUGUGAUCGCGUAUGGAGUUGCGGCUGUUCGGCGUUCCGGUCCCAGUUGCAUUUCACCUUGGAGAGCGUCCCUGCCACGAACAGCAACAAACUUGACAUUGUCAAUCCUCCGUUUCCUGACCGGUUGUAACGCGAGUUUCCGACUGACAUCCGAUUUCCGGUGAAUUCCUCUUCCUUUUCACGUGUAUUCAUUGCCUCAGUUUCGCGCCGCUUCCGCAUUACAACCUCCGAGCCGAGGUGAUCGCUGCCAGCCCAGAAAAGUCUGAAAAUCAAUUCGCGUUUUUUCCUUUCGCCACAACCGCGGCGCCCAAGUUGCGAAAAUUAUCGAUUGGCAAUCGGCGACUGCACGACGGCUCCGCGGGCUCCAACCGACCGCAAGACGAGACGACCUGGCGACGGCGGCCGACGGACGGUGUACUCCGCUUGAUGAAUGAAUAGGCGCGCGAGCGGGACAGCCGCCGUGCGCUUACCUGCGCGGAAACGGGACGCCCGAUGCGGGCCUACUACCUUAUUGUGAUCCGUGCGUAGUGUGUGUGCAGAAGUUUUUGUUUGACAGCCGAGGCGGAAGGAAAGUGACAUUUGUGCAGUUGCCGCACGUCAAAGCGCUCCGCAGUCACUCAGUCGUCGGCUGUGUGCUGAGUAAAAAGAAAAUCAGAAAAAUCCAAAAAAAAACAAAUUUUUUUUACGGCAACCACAAAGUAAUCGGUGAACGGAAAAAAUCGGGAAAAUUGAGGAGAUAUUGGGAAGCCUUUCGCGGUGCCACGAAGAUUCCGUGAUGCAAAUUCUGAGUGCGUGAUGUGCAUUUUAUCGCUGCCGUUUUAAAAUAGACUCGUCGUCGUCGUCGCUGCGUGUCGGCGGAUCUGUGGGCUGACCUGACCCGUGUCGUUGUUUUUUCUUUUCUCCGUGAAAAGCGUGUGUGAAAAUUCUUAGCGAGUUCAAUAAAAAAUUGCAAGAAAAUUACAAGUGAAUCGCAGGCUCCAAUUGGAGACGAAUCGAGUGCAGGCGAGCUGCCAGUCAAGCGGGGAGUGUUUUACACGGACCAGGGGAAGAAAUUCAGUCCGAUCCGGACGAGAAAAGGUGUCAAGCUAUCAGCCUGGAUCAGCCUAUUCGCACCAUAAACGGUUUUGAAACUUCAGCCGUAAAAUAACAUUAUUAUAAUUAUCCUAAGAUCAAAAUAAGAAAAGGAGCAAUCUUAGCAAAACAUCGAUUAAAAAGUAUAAAAAUAGAACGGAUAUCAAGCAAACCAUACAACCAUCUAAGCAAAAAAUCAUCUUAAGAUUAAAGUGUUGCGGUUUUGCAUCCGAUACGCUUCGUUUACAUGAAAAUCCACAAGACAUUCGUCAGCACUGAAGACCGAACAAAAGGAAGUACGGCUAAUUGGAGCACUAGCAACUCAGAAUAAUCUGCAUACAACCGCCCCGUAAAAGUGGCGAACAGUACGUGGAAAAUUGCAUUUUUUCCUCUGAUUGCAAAAGGGAAAAAGUAAUUUUCUUCAAGUCACGCUGUCGUCUACAAUAUUGCAGCCGUUGUUGACGUCGUUGCCGUCAAGAUGGAUGCCUCAAUUGAGGAGAACUCAACGACGGCCAUAACAACAGCAGAUCAACUUCAGAUGAUGAAUUCAUCAUCGGUGGUGAUUGAAGAGAAUAAUGUGGUUAGCGUUAGCAGCAUUGGUUACGAGAGGAAGCUAUCGAGCGAUGGCGAUGAUAAGGAUACGUCGGUGAGGGUUGCUGUACGUAUUCGACCGCAAAUACCGCGCGAGAUAAUAGACAUGUGUCGGAUUUGUACGACAGUAACCCCAGGAGAACCACAAGUCGUUCUCGGCGGAGACAAAGCCUUCACAUUCGAUUAUGUCUUUGACAUUAACUCCACACAGACCGAUAUCUAUGCGAAAUGUGUGGAAAAAUUGGUGGAUGGAUCGUUGAAAGGUUAUAAUGCAACCGUUCUGGCAUACGGUCAAACAGGCUCCGGCAAAACAUACACAAUGGGCACAGGAUUCGAUUGUGAUGUAACUGACAUUCAGGAGGGUAUAAUUCCGCGUGCCGUACGACACAUAUUCAGCGGCAUAGAAAACCUACAGACGGACGAGAAUGGAGUUAACCGAGGGACGAUACAGUUCAGCGUGGCUGCACAAUUUAUGGAACUAUACAAUGAAGACAUUAUUGAUUUGUUGGACCCAUACAACAAGGGGCGAGUAUUCAAAAUACAUGAAGAUCCUGCUGGUGGGAUUUAUGUGUCCGGUGCUACAAUUACGCCUAUUCAUGGUCCACAGGAUGCGCUUAAAUGUCUUCAACAAGGAGCCUUAGCCCGUACCACGGCCUCAACACAAAUGAAUGCCCAAUCAUCCCGAAGUCACGCACUCUUCACAAUCCUUAUACGACGCCAACGGGCCCUAUCCCCCGAAGAGUGUGGUCUGCCCGAAGGUGAUUUAGAAACGCUCACUUCGAAAUUCCAUUUCGUUGAUUUAGCCGGCUCAGAACGUUUGAAGCGUACAGGAGCGACUGGCGAACGUGCCCGCGAGGGUAUCUCAAUUAAUUGCGGCCUUCUAGCUCUGGGCAAUGUUAUUUCGGCAUUAGGCGAUAAAUCGAAACGAGCAACUCAUGUACCUUAUCGUGAUUCGAAAUUAACACGAUUACUGCAAGAUUCAUUGGGCGGUAACAGUCAAACGCUGAUGAUUGCAUGCGUAUCACCGAGUGAUCGUGAUUUUAUGGAAACACUGAAUACAUUGAAGUAUGCCAAUCGUGCACGUAAUAUUAAGAAUAAGGUACUAUUGAACCAAGAUCAAAGCUCGAGAACGAUAAUGCAACUGAGACGUGAGAUUGCGGCAUUACAAAUUGAAUUGUUAGAAUAUAAGCAGGGUAAACGUAGUAUCGACGAAGAAGGCAAUGCAUCCAUUUCUGAUACAUUCCAAGAGAACGCUAUGCUUCUGGCGGACAACAAAAGACUGCAACAACGACUUAAAGCCAUGCAAGAGACAAUUAACACCCUCACUGAUAAGAAUUCUGAAUUGAUGCUGCAGAAAGCAACAAUGGGCUGGCAAGCUACGGAUUCGGAGAAAUCAGUUGCUGAUAUGAUUGGCGCAUAUAUUACGGAAAUUGAAAAACUUCAAGCUAAACUAUUGGAGUCAGAACAAAUGUAUCAGCAACUGAAGAAGUCGAUGACGAGUCCGAGAAAUAAUUUCAAGAUGAAUAAUACAUUCGAGACCCCCGAAACAAUCCUUAAUAUGGCUAAGCAUGAGCUUGAGAAGGAACGAGAACUUCUCAUGUCGCGAUCGCUUCCUGGCUUUAACGAAGACAGCAGCAAUUCCAAUGUAGAAAAUAAUGACUCCGACAGUGAUAGUGAUACAGAGUCAGAUGACAAAACUGGUCAAAUGCAAGCCGAACUAAAUGACAUCAGUUCCGAUAUCGAACUUAAAACGAAACUUAUCGAACAAUUGGAAUUGUCACAACAAAGAAUGCAAGUUAUGCGUCAACAUUAUGAGGAGAAAUUGCAUAUUCUCAAUACGAAAAUCAUGAAUACGCAAAAGGAGCGCGAUCAAGUAUUAUCCAAUAUGGGAUCUGCUCCGCAAACAUCACAAUCAAACGAGAAGAUCAAAAAAGUUCGAGAGGAAUAUGAGCGCAAGAUUAACGAUAUGCAGCGUGAAUUGCGAAAAUUACAAUCAGCGCAAAAGGAACAUGUUCGCUUGCAACGCCAACUUCAGUCACAUGAAUCACAGCUCAAAACUUUACGAAAUGAAUUGUCUGAUCUCAAAGCGAUGAAGACUCGUCUCAUGCGUAAAAUGCAAGAAGAAAGUAAUCGUCACAAAGAGGAAGAGAGUCGUAAAGUUCGGGAAAUCGCUCAACUACGCAAGGAGUCCCGAAAACAGCUCAACACGAUCAAAUCUCUUCAAGCUCAAGGAGCAGCUAAAGACCAGGUUCUAAAGCGUCGUACCGAAGAAGUAACCGCCUUGCGGAAGAGUCAACGCGGUAUGCUUAGUCUGAAAGCGCAGGGUCGCGUUCAACCAAAGAAAACUCAAAUAUUCAGUCCUCGUCAAGCCCGUCUCAAAUGGGAAAAUCUCCAACGCACCAUUAGUCGAACAGUGGAAAGCAAAAAGACAAUUGUCCAACUUGAAAGUGAACUUGAAAGACUGAUACACGAUCGCGAAGCGCUUAGCCGAGAUCUAGCCAAUGUUCGUAAUAAAUUGCGACAGAACGAAACGCCUGAACUGAUCAGCGAAGAGGAUACGCUUAAAGCGAAUUUGAAUUAUGUUCAAGAAGUUAUGACACAAAUUCAACACUCCAUUAUCGAUAUCGAGGAGGGCAAGGAGUCAACCAGUUCCAAUCAGUUACAAUCACUUAUCGAUAAUGUACAGAGUGUCGAAGAGGCGAAAUAUCUUCUUGAGAAAUUGGCCAACAUUACAGUGGCUCAGACGUGUGAUAAUACAUUGGCGCAAACAAAACUGUCCGAGAAUGAAGCACGCAUCAAGGAAUUCCGUGACGAAAGUGACAUUCUGCAACAACUAAUGCAACACAUUCUAGCACAAAAUCCUGCCUUGACAUUCUCCGAUCUAUCACAGAAUUUCGAAUAUACAAAACAACGUUGUUCGGAAUCGUGGAGUACGAUCGAUAGCAAUAGUACAUAUGACAUUCCGUCCGAUAUGCCUAGUAUUCUGUCUGAUUCGCAACGUGGUCGAGAAAUGACUUCAAAUCACGUAGAAAUGCGUAAUCAUCAGAAUAGAUCGAGCAGAAGCCCAUCACCGGCCCCAACUAUAGACUUAGAUCAUACGUCCAAAGUUCGUAGGCGAACUGCACAACCACAAGAUCUUUUAUUUGGCGAUGCUGAUAAUCAAGUGGACAAGAAUGAUAUAAUGACACGAUCAUUCACUCAACAAGAAGGUGCUGGUCGCAGUUUUAUUCCAUUAGCAAGAGUUCCAAGUGCACCAGGAUCUUUGAAGCAAGCCUUAAACAACACUGCAUCUCCAUCUCUAGGUCGUAAGCCUAUCGAUACGACUGGGGCGAAUGCUGUUCCCGUAUCACCUAGAGUUAAUCGACGACCUUUCCCUAAUAAGGGUUCGCCCGGAUUGUUUUUGGCACGUGCAAUUUUAUGGACAUUUCUUUUUAUCUGGAUAUUACGAGCGUUGGGUUUAAUAAGCAUGUGCCCUCGUUGCGAUUGCCAAUGUGUCUGCUCUUGUCAGAAUACCUGGCAUACGGCUACGAUGUAGGAAGGGAAAACUUAUUACAGUCACUAUUUUGUAGUUGAGUAAGGUUGUAAGGUGGAUUUGUAAGGUUUAGUGAUGGAAUCUUGCCAUUUUGUCUCGAUGAUCUCUUUAUCAUACAUCAUUUCUUGAGUUCUAUGAAAUGCAUUUGAUCCCUACCGGAAAAGUACGAAUCUGGCGAUUUAAAUCAGCUCUCAAGCGACAAUACUCACUCGAGGAUAGCUGAUAUUCAAGAUCACGUGAUGGUCACCAGGAAGACUACACACCCCCGUUUCGACGCAGUCAUUCGACCGGAUCUAGUUCACCAAUCAAACGAAAUAUUAACAUUAAAUCUUUUUUAACAUCAACACACUCAUCACCUCUAUCAUCAAAAUCAUCAUCGUCAUUCCUAUCACCACCAUCACUAUCAUCGCCAGUUACAACACCGACAAGAACACGAACAACAUCACUAUUAGCUUUAAGAAAUACCGACUCGGGAUCCUCGACGAGUUUUGGGAAUCACCGAGUUUCCACACUGCAUCGAUAUCAAGUGGCUGGUCCUGCGUCAUCGACUCUGGGUCUUGCUUCGUCGUCGUCCUUGUCAUCAACGUCGGGAAGUCAACGAUAUUUUAGUUCAAAUUUAAGAUUGAAUAGGGACCUGCAGAGACGUCUCGAAUCGGCAACAACCACGGCAUCGACAUUAACGUCCUUGUCCUUGUCGACGUCAAUGUCGUCCAAGAAUCGAAUCCCCAAUCGAACGUCUCUUCUGAAUAGGACACGAUUGAAUGCAUUCUCAAGCGGUCUAAUGACUUUCAGUAAGAAAUUAUGAUUUGAAUUUUAUUUUAUUCUGUGGUCGUUUGUUGUCUUUUUUUAUUCGACAAUGUUGAAUUAAUCCUUUAUUUAUUUUACAUUGAGUAUGUACGUGUGUUUACAUGGAGGAGUUAUUUUAAAGGCGCUCGGGGAUGAUCUGGUUGGCGUUUGCGUCAGGACUUCGUGUUUUUUUUAAACAAGACGAGGAGGAGCUAACGUUUUACAUCACAGAAUCCUUCCAGUAACUCAAUUAUUAAACUUUUACAAACGCGCCUUUUUUUAAAAACGAUACAACUGUACAGCCUUUUCUAUAUUUUAUAUUUUUUCGCAUCUGAAUCAUACACAGAAAAACGGAGGCUUUUGAUUAUACAAAUAGAACUACGCAUACGAUAAACUACGAACACUAGGCAAUAGAAAAGAUGUUUUAAUAUAUACAUUUAAUUACGGAUACCAAUAAAUUGUAUCCAUAUUCGAUAUAUUUUUCUACAACACAAACUACAGGUGUAAGUCCUUGUUUGAAUAGGCGUGUAAGGUAGCGAUUUAAAGCAUCAACUGAAAAUCAAAUGUGGAUUACAGGCGAAGUAGGAAUCUAUGGAACAUAUUCAGAUAACAAUAAUAAAUUUAAGUCACGACUAAAUACACAAAUUGUUUGUAAGAAGUUGUAGUAGUGGCCCGCAAUGCAAAUCGAAAGGACGACUUGGCGAGGGAUGAAAAAAUGGCAACUAUUUCCUUCUUGUUUGUGGUUUUAUGAGAUAAUCUAAGAUUUAUCGUAACAAAUAUUUAUAUAUUUUCUUAAGGCUCUAUAUAAGGCGGAAGAGCGUUAUUAAAUCGACAAAUAUAUUCCUCUAGACUUACAAGAAAUGCUGAACUAAUUUGGUUUAUCUAAACGGAAACAAUUCACGCGCUAGGCAUCUAACUAGAACUUAUGUAACAAUUGGUGAUUUAUAUAUUCUUUAUACUCUCAAAACUACUUUAAACUGAAAUCUAUAUAACUUCUGCAGCUAAGUAAGACAAACCAUUCUAAUUAUUAUCUAAACGCCUUUAGGUUGUAAUAUCUUCAAUGGAUUCAUCGAAUUGAAAGGAAAUCAUUCAAUGAAUCCAGAACUAAUAAAAGACAAUGCUGUGGAAAUUAAUGUGGAUCUACUGUAAACAUGUAGAGCUAAAAAUUAUUAAUUUAGUGAUGGAACAAUAAUGAGGGAAAAUUGUGUUGUAAUUUCAAGAGAAAAAGUGACUAAUACGAAAGUAUGUAUGAAAGGAAAUAUUUUAUUGUGUAAACACGCUUUAUUUUCAAUAAAUUAGAUUGUUAGGUAAGAGAGCGACGAAACGGAUGAACAAAUUACUAAUAGUUGCGUACAAUAUUUGAUGUGUAUAUGUUGAUUAUAAAAUGCAAAUGGAAAAGAUAAAGAUAUGAUGAAUAAAGAAGAUAUUUGAAGAGUUAUAUGAUCAAA